GCUUAGAGAGGGGUCAAUGUCCUAUCAGCUAGUUGGUAGGGUAAUGGCCUACCAAGGCUAAGACGGGUAGCUGGCCUGAGAGGGUGGUCGGCCACACUGGGACUGAGACACUGCCCAGACUCCUACGGGGGGCUGCAGUCGAGAAUCUUUCGCAAUGCCCGAAAGGGUGACGAAGCGACGCCGCGUGUGGGAAGAAGGCCUUCGGGUUGUAAACCACUGUCGGGAGUUAAGAAAUGUAAGGGUAUUAAUAGUAUCCUUACUUGACUAAGGCUCCGGAGGAAGCCACGGCUAACUCUGUGCCAGCAGCCGCGGUAAUACAGAGGCGGCAAGCGUUGUUCGGAAUUAUUGGGCGUAAAGAGCACGUAGGCGGCUUUGUAAGUCAGUUGUGAAAGCCUUCUGCUCAACGGAAGAACAGCAUCUGAUACUGCAAGGCUAGAGUGCGGAAGGG
This 448-nucleotide ribosomal RNA is filed under the name uncultured Planctomycetota bacterium. RNAcentral describes it as "bacterial SSU rRNA". It matches the Rfam family "Bacterial small subunit ribosomal RNA", at positions 217 to 656 of the family's 1533-position model. Lineage: Bacteria; Pseudomonadati; Planctomycetota. The record is from RNAcentral.